Molecule: non-coding RNA, 45 nt
Organism: Trichobilharzia regenti
Lineage: Eukaryota; Metazoa; Platyhelminthes; Trematoda; Strigeidida; Schistosomatidae
Source: Rfam
ACCCAGAUGAUGAGUCCCAAAUAGGAUGAAAUGCGCACCGUGGAU